This 253-nucleotide ribosomal RNA is filed under the name uncultured prokaryote. RNAcentral describes it as "partial 16S ribosomal RNA". It matches the Rfam family "Bacterial small subunit ribosomal RNA", at positions 525 to 777 of the family's 1533-position model. The record is from RNAcentral.
ACAGAGGGUGCAAGCGUUAAUCGGAAUUACUGGGCGUAAAGCGUGCGUAGACGGUUAUGUAAGUCGGAUGUGAAAUCCCCGGGCUCAACCUGGGAACUGCAUCUGUGACUGCAUAGCUAGAGUACGGUAGAGGGGGAUGGAAUUCCGCGUGUAGCAGUGAAAUGCGUAGAUAUGCGGAGGAACACCGAUGGUGAAGGCAAUCCCCUGGACCUGUACUGACGCUCAUGCACGAAAGCGUGGGGAGCAAACAGGA